RNAcentral lists this long non-coding RNA (354 nucleotides) under Homo sapiens (human). RNAcentral's name for it is "HSALNT0298971". The record is from RNAcentral. Lineage: Eukaryota; Metazoa; Chordata; Mammalia; Primates; Hominidae.
CCUGUGUCCAAAUGUCUCAUAGGAUGCUCCCAGGAACGGCUUGAUCCUCGUUUUUGAAACUUCAAGUGCUGGCUAAGUGAAGCUGGUAAAGACCCAGGCUCUGGAGUCGGACUGCCUAGGUUCAAAUCCCAGCUUCACCAUUUGAUCUCAGGUAAUGUGCCAACAUUGUAACAAGGUUUAAAGGAUGGAUAUCUCACACAUGAGCAUGAAAAACUGUAAGUGUGUUUCACAUUUAUGAACCACAAAAUAAUGUGUUUCAAAUCUUUCUUACUACAUUGAAAGCAACAGCUGAAGAUCAUGAAGACAGUUCAACAAAGAAAUACAAGCUGGUGGCUUGCACCUGUAAUCCCAGCA